CUGAACUCUCUUUGCUUCUCGUCUUGUACCAAUAAGGAAAAAGCUUGUGCCAACGAUGGUAAAGGUUUCAUCAUUAAAAUGCUUCCUCUCAUUGUCGUGUAUACUUCAUUCAAGCCCAUAAAAAACUGAGUAAGUCGCAUGUCUAGCUCUGCCUUAUGCAUGUUAUCCUUCGAGCCACAAGUACAAGCACAAGUACACCGACACCUUGCAUUGAGAUUACUCAGCUCUUCCCACAAUCUUUUCAUUCGCGUGUAAUAGGUAGUAAUGUCCAAAGACCCUUGAACUAGAUCAUUAAUUUCCUUUUGGAUUUGAUACAGCUUUGCACCAUUCGUUUGAGCGUAUCGAUCUUCCAAUUCUCUCCACAGUUCUACUGAAUCCUGACAUACUCAACACUAUCAGAAAUUUCAUUUGACAGGGAAUUGAGAAUCCAGGAGGUUACCAUCUUAUCACACCUUUCCCAAUGAUGAAAUUGAGGCGAGUCAGGAGGAGGUUUUCCACAAUCCCCAUUUACAAACCCUAAUUUAUUUUUGACAGAUAGGGCUCUCAAGACGCUUCUUCUCCAUGACCUAUAACCGAUCCCAUCAAAUGGAACUGGUACUAGAAUUACUUCGGGACUAUCGAAAGGAUGAAUGUACAGAGGGCUACUCACAUCGAUGGCGGAUUGGUCGUUUCUGUUCGUACUAGGCGUGACCUCUUCGGUCUGGUUGUUAGUCAUGGAAGUGAAACUAGAUGAUGAAAUUGAUUGAUCUUCUAGCUUGAUCGAUGAAUAAAAUGACUAGUCGUGUGCGGCGCCUUCAACUCACACAGUUCUACAGCUGGAAAUCAGAGAAAUUGAAACCCAACAGAUGAACGAAUGAAAUGAGCUUAGGAGAAGAGAAAUUCCAAUGGAUCUUCACCAAUUGUAUCAACCUCGCUCUGAUACCAUAUCAAGUUUUGCAUCUCGAUCUAGGAUGAAGCUCAAGCAAGAGCUGUAAUGGCGGUUUGGAAUGUGAGAGAGAGAGAGAGAGAAAAUAUCUGCAGAAGCUAAAAUAAGGAGAAUAUC
This 1042-nucleotide long non-coding RNA is filed under the name Nicotiana benthamiana. RNAcentral describes it as "long non-coding RNA (NBEN_LNC017528)". Lineage: Eukaryota; Viridiplantae; Streptophyta; Magnoliopsida; Solanales; Solanaceae. The record is from RNAcentral.